RNAcentral lists this ribosomal RNA (449 nucleotides) under Arthrobacter sp. RNAcentral describes it as "bacterial SSU rRNA". It matches the Rfam family "Bacterial small subunit ribosomal RNA", at positions 26 to 472 of the family's 1533-position model. The record is from RNAcentral. Lineage: Bacteria; Bacillati; Actinomycetota; Actinomycetes; Micrococcales; Micrococcaceae.
AGGAUGAACGCUGGCGGCGUGCUUAACACAUGCAAGUCGAACGAUGAUCCUCAGCUUGCUGGGGGGAUUAGUGGCGAACGGGUGAGUAACACGUGAGUAACCUGCCCUUGACUCUGGGAUAAGCCUGGGAAACUGGGUCUAAUACUGGAUAUGACCUUCUGGCGCAUGCCAUGUUGGUGGAAAGCUUUUGUGGUUUUGGAUGGACUCGCGGCCUAUCAGCUUGUUGGUGGGGUAAUGGCUUACCAAGGCGACGACGGGUAGCCGGCCUGAGAGGGUGACCGGCCACACUGGGACUGAGACACGGCCCAGACUCCUACGGGAGGCAGCAGUGGGGAAUAUUGCACAAUGGGCGCAAGCCUGAUGCAGCGACGCCGCGUGAGGGAUGAAGGCCUUCGGGUUGUAAACCUCUUUCAGUAGGGAAGGAAGCUGGUCCUUUUGGGGGUUGGUGA